GGGAAGGAUGCUCUACUGUAAGCUGUGCAAAUACUCCAGAAAGAGCGGCAGCUGUGGAUAGUUCAGUGAAGUCGAGGACGUAUGAGAAUUUGUUCAAUGGACAGGUGUUCCAAAAGACAGGAUAGAAUGUCUGCCCUGUAUUCCUAAUGCUGAGUGCAUUGCUGGAGGAGGUGAGCGUGAGGAACAUAGUCAGAGUGACAUCUUCACAAGCGGCCUGGGGAGCAGGCUCCUCUGCCCACCCUGAAGGAUUCCUUACCCUCCCGUGGCAUCUACAGAACUAGCAGAGGUGGAGCCCAGAGCGAAUGCACCAGAUGGGAGUUUAUACGGCUGCGACACCAAUUUUAGGCAUGUGAUUCCUUCUGGACUAGAAGGGGAGAUGGGACAAAAGCAAGGACAGGCUUGGGGACUUCAGGUAUAGACGUGACACUUGCCUUCUGAGGACAGAUGUGUACACAGUAUAUCCUUGCAGUUUUUCUUAAUUAUGAAGUGUUUCGAUGAGAAGGUUUAAGAUGAAGUACACUUACUUAUCUUUGACCAACGGAUCCCUACAUAGGCCUGGAGGUGGA
This is a long non-coding RNA of Mus musculus (house mouse), 566 nucleotides long. RefSeq annotates it as predicted gene, 33528. NCBI's taxonomy places the organism in Eukaryota, Metazoa, Chordata, Mammalia, Rodentia, Muridae. The transcript has 3 exons. The record is from RefSeq and is a predicted model, not a curated record.